Molecule: ribosomal RNA, 383 nt
Filed under: uncultured eukaryote
Lineage: Eukaryota
Description: partial 18S ribosomal RNA
Rfam family: Eukaryotic small subunit ribosomal RNA
Source: RNAcentral
CAAUAGCGUAUAUUAAAGUUGUUGCAGUUAAAAAGCUCGUAGUUGGAUUUCUGGUAGGAGUGACCGUUCCGAACUUGAUUGUUCGUGUAUUGUGUUUUCUCCAGCCAUCCUUGUGGAGAACUUUUCUUGCAUUAAUUUGUAGGGAUUGGGACCCGCAUCGUUUACUGUGAAAAAAUUAGAGUGUUUAAAGCAGGCAAUCGCUUGAAUACAUUAGCAUGGAAUAAUAAGAUAGGACUUUGGUACUAUUUUGUUGGUUUGCAUACCAAAUUAAUGAUCAACAGGAACAGUUUGAGGAUAUUCGUAUGAACAUGUCAGAGGUGAAAUUCUUGGAUUUUGAUCAGAUGAACUACUGCGAAAGCAUUUAUCAAGGAUGUUUUCAUUAA